Non-coding RNA from Pelobates cultripes (western spadefoot toad), 218 nucleotides. NCBI's taxonomy places the organism in Eukaryota, Metazoa, Chordata, Amphibia, Anura, Pelobatidae. The record is from the annotation of a GenBank genome assembly.
CACGGGUGGUGCUGUAUUGUGUGGUAGUUUUGUAUAUACAUAUCUUGUUUUCCUCUGACAUACAGUCUUAAUUCUAUCUAUUUAAUAAUGUUGGAUAAGCUUUCCAAAUUAUGCAAUCUUUUUGGAUAAACUUUUCAAAAUAUUAACAUUUCAAAACAAAUGCUAAAAUAAAAUGCUAAAUAUUUUUUAUAAUGUGAAAUCUUUUUAAAAGUUUAUCC